Molecule: ribosomal RNA, 489 nt
Filed under: uncultured Thermomonosporaceae bacterium
Lineage: Bacteria; Bacillati; Actinomycetota; Actinomycetes; Streptosporangiales; Thermomonosporaceae
Description: partial 16S ribosomal RNA
Source: RNAcentral
CACGUAGUUAGCCGGCGCUUCUUCUGCACCUACCGUCACCCCGAAAGGCUUCGUCGAUGCUGAAAGAGGUUUACAACCCGAAGGCCGUCAUCCCCCACGCGGCGUCGCUGCGUCAGGCUUCCGCCCAUUGCGCAAUAUUCCCCACUGCUGCCUCCCGUAGGAGUCUGGGCCGUGUCUCAGUCCCAGUGUGACCGGUCGCCCUCUCAGGCCGGUUACCCGUCGUCGCCUUGGUAGGCCAUCACCCCACCAACAAGCUGAUAGGCCGCGAGCCCAUCCCCAACCGAUAAAUCUUUCCACCCGCAGACCAUGCGGCCACGAGUCAUAUCCGGUAUUAGACCCGGUUUCCCAGGCUUAUCCCAGAGUCAGGGGCAGGUUGCUCACGUGUUACUCACCCGUUCGCCGCUCGAGUACCCCCGAAGGGGCCUUUCCGCUCGACUUGCAUGUGUUAAGCACGCCGCCAGCGUCUCGUCGUGCCACGGAGUCAACUAC